Herpailurus yagouaroundi (jaguarundi) is the source of this 120-nucleotide long non-coding RNA. RefSeq lists it as uncharacterized. Lineage: Eukaryota; Metazoa; Chordata; Mammalia; Carnivora; Felidae. The transcript has 3 exons. The record is from RefSeq and is a predicted model, not a curated record.
AUGUUACGGACUGCGGACGAGGCACCUGGGGCCUGGUGGGCUAAGUGAUGUGUCUAAAUCAGUUCUCCUCCCUGAGCUCUGAUCUCUGAAUUCGGUGGAAGCCAGUUAGAGAUAAGCUAA